GUUUAUUUUAGAGUCAGUUGCUUUGCGGCAAUAAAUUAGACUUCAUUUCCCAUUCAUUUCAUCUGAAUUAGAUAAAUACGUAUUGCACACAGAUCUACAAUUACAUAAUCCAAUAUUCAUCAGGAUAAUACAUCAUAACAAAGGCAAUACUGGCUUCAUCAAGAAAAUUGCAAGUAAAGUGCAAUAUGAAAUCCUUAUUUGUAUCCAUAUAAUGUCACAUUAUAACAUUCUGCUGGUCUUGAAAAGAGAAAAAAAAAAAAAUGAAAUUAACAACAUACUUAAAACCUUUUUUUCUUUAUUCACUUUCUUUUGCUUUAUAUCCACCUUCAUAUACAUACAUUUUCUUUUUGUCACAUUUAAAGAAUACAUUAUAUUGACCUCUGUUUUCUCAUGAAACAGGUAGAGUUUGUCAACUGGUGGCUUUACAGUGGUGGAAGUGCAGUUUGCAGGAUGUUUUUCAGCUGUAGCUGAAACUGGCUCGGAGUUGUGGUACCACAACAGCUGUAAUGUUUCUUGAUGGCUAUUCCUGAGUAAUACAUUUCAUUUGCAUGAUAACUUCCAGAAACCAUCUAGAACAGGGGUACCCAAUAGAUAUAUCACCAGAUGUUUUGAAACUACGGCUUCCUUGAUGCUUUGUCAUUCUAAAAGCGUUCUAAAAGAAUGUAAAGCAUCACUGGAGUUGGAGUUCUACAACAUCUGGGGGAUCUACCUUUUGGGCACCUCUGUUCUAGAUGGUUUCUGGAAGUUAUCUUGCAUAUGAAAUGUAUUGCUCAUGAAUAGCCUGCAGCUGUUGUGGUACCACAACUCCGAGCCAGGUUGCUUACACUUACCCUAUUCUUUCUCACGUUCUCUCUCUCUCUCUCUCUCUCUCUCUCUCUCAAUCACCUCUUUUACAUUUCUUCUUACUUGUCUGUCUCUCUCUUCCCCUCUUCUGUCCAUCUAUUCUACCUCCAUAUCUCCUCCCUCCAGAAUUUUAUUAUUCUCCUUGCAAAACACACAUAAGGCAAUUAUGCCAUAAUAAAUACUGUUUAAUAUAAAAAUAUUAUUUUGACAAGCAAUGCACCUUGCCAUCGAUCAUUUCAAAUUAAACAUUUAAAAUAAAUACAUUUUAUAUUUUUUCAGUUUUCUAUCAAACACAUAUCUACAUC
Molecule: non-coding RNA, 1148 nt
Organism: Pelobates cultripes (western spadefoot toad)
Lineage: Eukaryota; Metazoa; Chordata; Amphibia; Anura; Pelobatidae
Source: the annotation of a GenBank genome assembly